GGCUUUGUGGCUCAGAGGUAGAGUGGAUGCCUAGCAUGCAUGAGGCACUGGGUUCGAUCCUCAGCACCA
Molecule: transfer RNA, 69 nt
Filed under: Ictidomys tridecemlineatus (thirteen-lined ground squirrel)
Lineage: Eukaryota; Metazoa; Chordata; Mammalia; Rodentia; Sciuridae
Description: Spermophilus tridecemlineatus (thirteen-lined ground squirrel) tRNA
Rfam family: tRNA
About the family: Transfer RNA (tRNA) molecules are approximately 80 nucleotides in length. Their secondary structure includes four short double-helical elements and three loops (D, anti-codon, and T loops).
Source: Rfam by way of RNAcentral